Molecule: transfer RNA, 92 nt
Filed under: Stutzerimonas stutzeri
Lineage: Bacteria; Pseudomonadati; Pseudomonadota; Gammaproteobacteria; Pseudomonadales; Pseudomonadaceae
Description: Pseudomonas stutzeri tRNA-Ala(cgc)
Source: RNAcentral
GUGCAGCUGGCUGACUGCAUUGACUGCGCCCGCCCCGCGGGUGGCCAGGUAGGCCAUGUUGAACGGCUCGUGGGAGUCCUGCGGCUGCUUGC